Molecule: ribosomal RNA, 375 nt
Filed under: uncultured bacterium
Lineage: Bacteria
Description: bacterial SSU rRNA
Rfam family: Bacterial small subunit ribosomal RNA
Source: RNAcentral
CUUUCAGCAGUGAGGAAGGUGGGUAUGUUAAUAGCAUACUCAUUUGUACGUUAGCUGCAGAAGAAGCACCGGCUAACUCCGUGCCAGCAGCCGCGGUAAUACGGAGGUGCGAGCGUUAAUCGGAAUUACUGGGACGUAAAGCGCAUGCAGGUGGUUUAGUUAAGUCAGAUGUAGAAACGCCCGGGGCUCAACCUCGGAAUUGCUAUUUAGAAACUGGACAAACUAGAGUACUGUAGAGGGGGUAGAAUUUCAGGUGUAGCGGUGAAAAUGCGUAGAGAUCUGAAGGAAUACCGGUGGCGAAGGCGGCCCCCUGGACAGAUACUGACACUCAGAUGCGAAAGCGUGGGGAGCAAACAGGAUUAGAUACCCUGGUAG